UCGCAUCAUAAAGACCCAAAUCCAUCUAGAGAAAUCAUCCACAAGAGUAAGAAAAUAGUUCAUUACAUCAUAGGUUGAGACUUUGUAUGGCCCCCAAACAUCCAUAUCUAUCAAUUCAAAUGGUGCAACAACUCUACUGUUACUAUGAGAAAAUGAAAGUCUAACUUGUCUAGAUAAUGGACAUAUGCCAUAGUGGUCCAAUGUAAGACUACAUUUAUUCUUCAAAACAGAAAUUCUUCUUAGAAAUGCCAUAGGUACAUGGCCUAUCCUCUUGUGCCAUAACUCUGAAUCUGCCAUCUCUCUUACUGCCAAAGAUUUCAUCUGCUCCUUGACUCCAGCAACUUCUUCCUUACCAAUCCCCUUCACCCUAUCAAUGAAGAGGUCUUGGAAGAUAAAGAAGUCAGGAUAGAAACUAACAAAGCAUUGCAAAGCCUUAGUCAUCUUUGAAACUGACAAUAAUUUGAAUUUAAAUACUAGUAUACACAAUACAUUUUUAAUGAGAUCACUUCUUGUCAAGUUGCAAUUUCCUACAUGAGUAAUCUGAGUCGAAUCUUUAGUAGACGUUUGAACAUGUCCCAAGUUUCCUACUUUAGUAGCCUUAACCAACAAUUGUUAAUUACCUAUCAUAUGAUUAGUAACCCUUGUGUCUACUAUCCAAGUAGGACUAAAAUCAGAAGCAAACAAAGAAAUACCUACCAUGUGUGCACUAGGUUCACCAACUAAAGUUUUGUUCAACAAAUUGAGGAUAUUUAGUAUGGCUCAGGGGUGAAGACUGGUGCUAUAAUAGGUGUGAGUGGACGAGGAAUAGAAGCAACAUUUCCAUCUGAUUGUGCCAUGUUUCUGCUCGGUAUAACACCUUUCUUUUUUUUUUACUUAAAAUUAGUAGGGUACCCUAUGAUUUUAUAGAAUUUUUUCUUAAAAUGAUAUUUCAUGUUGCAAAAGUCACAUUCAUUAAUUUGAAAUAAUUAUCCUUGGAAUGACCUCGUGUGCGACAGUAAUCACACUCCAGAUUAUAAUUCUUCAUCCCCUGCCUUGGACCAGAAUAUUUAGUAGUAAAUAGGGUAGUAUGCUCCAUAUUUUUAGUCAAUGCACAAUGCCCUCCUACGACCAUUCUUUGACUCUCAUCUUGAAGCAACAUUGCAUAUGCUUGAUUAACAUUAGGAACAUGUGAUUUCAUCAAGAUCUGGCUGCGUGUCUGGCUAUAUAUGUCAUUGAUACCUAUAAGAAAUUGUAACAAUUGUUGGUAUUGUAAAUGAUAAGCAUAUUCCUUGGAUUUUGCACAUUUACAAGAAGGAGGGGGCAUCAAUGGAUCAUAUUCAUCCUAUAGGUCCUUUACUUUAGAAUAAUACACAGAGAUGGAUGAAGUACCUUGUGUUAAGAUAAAAAUUUCCUUAUCCAGAUAAAAUAUGCGAGAAGUUGUCACCUUAUCAAAGCGCUCUCGCAGGUCCUCCCAAAUAGCAUAAGCACUAGAAUGCAACAGAAGUCUACUAAGCAAAUCAUGACUAACAUUAGGCAUAAUCUAUGAUUUCACUAUCGCAUUACAGCGACCUAGUGAUUAAUAAAAUUCUAUCCAUAAGUGUCCCGCGUGAUAAUGCCUUCAACAAAACCAAGUGUAUUCCUAGUCAGCAAAGAAACUUCCAUGGCCUGUCGCCAUAGAGUAUAAUUCUCCAUUCCAAUGGGGGCAUCCCAAUCGAAAACGAGCUCGGAGCAUCCAAAGCAUGAAAAAAUAGUGGGUGAUUGUGGUUAAUCACAAUCACAUUUUGUGCAGUUGCGUCAUCGGUUGCCAUGAAAAAUUAGGGCUCAAAACACACAAAAAACUCAAAUUCACCAGAAAGUACCCAAGGAAUCUUUUGAUUUUCAACUGUCGUCGGAGAAAAUCCCUAGAUUCACUCAAUUAGGGCCAUGAUACCAUGUUAAAUCUCCACUAAUCGAUGAAUUGAGUAAUUCAAUUGAGCUCACAAAUGAAUAAGAUGAGAGAAUCAUGAAUAAGAAGUUGAAAUCAGAAAGCAGAACUUUGAUAAAAUGAAUCGUGU
This 2033-nucleotide long non-coding RNA is filed under the name Nicotiana tabacum (common tobacco). Its description in RNAcentral is "long non-coding RNA (NTAB_LNC006318)". The record is from RNAcentral. Lineage: Eukaryota; Viridiplantae; Streptophyta; Magnoliopsida; Solanales; Solanaceae.